GAUGAAGAACGUAGCGAAAUGCGAUACGUAAUGUGAAUUGCAGAAUUCAGUGAAUCAUCGAAUCUUUGGACGCAUAUUGCGCUCUUUGGUAUUCCGAAGAGCAUGCUUGUUUGAGUAUCAGUAAACACCUCAACCUCUUCUUGAUUUUUCAAAAGGAGGGUGGACUUGAGCUAUCCCAACAACCUUUACCGGUCGGCGGGCGGCUUGAAAUGCAGGUGCAGCUGGACUUUUAUCUGAGCUAAAAGCAUAUCUAUUUAGUCCUCGUCAAACAGGAUUAUUACUUUUGCUGCAGCUAACAUAAAGGAUAAUUGUCCUCUUUGCUGACUGAUGCAGGAUUUUACGACACUUUAUGUGUUGUUCAACUCGAUCUCAAAUCAAGUAAGACUACCCGCUGAACUUAAGCAUAUCAAUAAGCGGAGGA
Molecule: unclassified non-coding RNA, 421 nt
Filed under: soil metagenome
Description: partial contains 5.8S ribosomal RNA, internal transcribed spacer 2, and large subunit ribosomal RNA
Rfam family: 5.8S ribosomal RNA (bases 1-120)
Source: RNAcentral